UCCAGUGUCCUGAAGUGCUCACUGCUGGCAGCCCUGGGCCGGGCUCAGCAAAAACCUCUUGUGUUCAGUGGCAGAGGAAGCACAAGCCCAAGUGGCUCUGCAGGGUCAGCGUGGCUGCGCCCCAGGUUUCCCUCCCCCUCGUCAUUUUCUGCCAAAAGAACUGGAGAGCUGUGGUCAAUGGCAUCGCUGAAGGACAUGUGGGCUGACAGACAGUUCACUGAACACAGUGAGUGAAGACUCCUGCCUGCAGCACAAGAAACUUGCAAAGCAAAGCUCUUCUCCACUGCUGAUGCUCGAUGGGAUCACCAGCAGAAGUGAGGGCUCUAAGAGACAGCAGCGUGGGCUUCCUCACACACGGCUGACUCCAGUGUACCCUGUGUCCUACCUGCCAGGAGCAGCUCUGCAGUUACAGGGGAACAUAAGAUUUAAAAGAAAAGAAAAACAAACCCAAACAAGACAAGUCUCCGUGUGGUCCUGACCCAGCGUGAGGAGUGAGUACACAUUGUUUAUGUGCUUUUGUCUCUGUGGGUUCACUGGAGGCUGGUGAUACCUGUGACUGUCCGUAGGUACAUCUUUGGGUAUGUUUGGUUCAACUACAGUGUACGUGUAGGAGAGACCACGCAAGACACACGGUCACAGUGACACUGAUGUUAUGACUGCCCACCUGCACUGGCAUUGACCUAGAGAGUCCGUUCCUGGUGGGGUUGGCACAGCUCUCUGGUGGGGUCACACACUAGUGGAGAGGUGAAGGAUGCUAAUCCGUCAUUGCUAGGGCAUUGCCAGCACUAUAGCAAUUUCUAGGAAGGAGGAGAACCAGAACAAUACAAAACCUGUCUGCAGAGCUGCCCAAUGAUUUGAAGACUUCAGAACACGCUAGCUCUAAUUAACGUGCUGGAAAGCUGUAAGCCAGCUCAGGGGAGUGUGGACUCCAGCACCUCCUAAAUUGGUCGAGGCAGGUUCUACCUAGUCUUUAAUUUGAUCUUUCUAGCAUGUAUUAAAAGCAGUCACACCUUGAUUACACUAGACUCUUCUGACACAUUAAUUCUGAAGGAUUAACUAACAAAGUUCAUCUGCCCAAGCUAAAAAAAGUGCUCUGUCUGUGCACACGUGUGUGUGUACACUUGUGGAUUAGGGGAGAGACCCAUGGCUCAUUGAUUCCUCUAUGGCAGUGUUUGACCUUGGGAUGGCACACCUACUGUUCUCUAUUUUUCAAUGGUCACUAAUUUUUAAAUUAUUUUAACCCAGCAAUAGAUUCCAGCCAUACCCAGCUUCUUAGAUAGUCAGUUUUUCAGUGCAUCUUUUUGUUCCUAUGGUUGUAGGAGGGGAGACAGGCAGGAAGUUGGGGAAGUGGAGUAGCAAAGAGUCAUCUACAAGUGUUGGGCCACAGCCAAGCUUUAGAUUAAUACAAUAUGA
This 1413-nucleotide long non-coding RNA is filed under the name Calidris pugnax (ruff). RNAcentral describes it as "lncRNA (ENSCPUG00000012683.1)". Lineage: Eukaryota; Metazoa; Chordata; Aves; Charadriiformes; Scolopacidae. The record is from RNAcentral.